Molecule: long non-coding RNA, 1227 nt
Organism: Cynoglossus semilaevis (tongue sole)
Lineage: Eukaryota; Metazoa; Chordata; Actinopteri; Pleuronectiformes; Cynoglossidae
Exons: 4
Source: RefSeq, a predicted model, not a curated record
CAGGCAACAUGACUUAAAACGGUCGCGGCUUAUGACGUCAGACGCUGUAAAAGCUCGCCAGGUGCUUUAAAUCUCACAGGUAUACGGCGUUAUUCCUUAACGGCGGCUUGAACUGGUCCGGACGAAGGAGUGAGACAGAAAGCUACGUCAAGAUUUCUGCGCCAGGUCAGAGUUGUCCAGCGUCAAGGUCCACUCCUGAAACUGAAAGACAAGAUUGGUCAUCCUGAAGAUCUUCAACACACAGUUAAAGGCGACCAGGGAUGCUAGCAGAACAAAGAAGCCAUGUGAAAAAACCUCGUGAAUUCCUGGCUGAAGUAUCCUCACCAUUAACCUUGGCUUCUGAGGCCAAAAUGGAACAGUCCCAGUUUGGGGGUAAAUCUGGAGAUGAACACAAGUGAAGGACCACAGAAAGCCGUGUGCUUACUCUGCAGUCUGUUUACAUUCCUGAGGGUAAUUUUAGCCCCUAGAGGGGAGAGCAGAGCAGGGGGUCCGACAUGUCGUUGGUGCUUGUCAGUGGUGGACAGGAGAGCUGGGACAUGUUUGUGGUACACAGGAACACUCACGCAUGUUGGUGGCGUUCUAAUAUUUAUUUAUUCAUUUAAUGAUUUGCCAACUAAUAAUCAGGCUUUUUUCUUAAAUAAUUUUGAUUUUAAAGAGUCUUUGAUUUCUAUAUAACAUCUGUGAAAUUGUUGAGAAAAUAAACUUGAGGUGAAAAUUGAAAUCUUAUUAAGCUGUACUAUUUCAAUUUCUGCUUUAUUUUAGGCUACCUUUAAUCACUUGGUGGCUACAUUUUAGUAUUUUUUAAAAAAAAUAGUUUUGGCAAGAUAUGUAUUUCCAAUAUAUUCUGUUUUAUUCAGUUCCAGGGUUUCUGUGCCUACAGUGAUAUUUUGGCAAAAACUAAAUCAGCUUUUCUUUAAUUCUCUGACUCAUUUGUGUCUUUCAAUACGAACAUUUCUGUCAUUUUAGCCAUUUGUUAUUUUUUUUUAUUUUUACAAUUAUUUAUAAAAUAUGGUAAAAAAAAAGGCUGCAGGGCUAAAAGCAGAGAAUUCAGUGUGGAGUGGUCCACCGCUGACACCAUUAGCUUCAGGAAACGUAGGAUAUCCGUAGUGUUUACACUUUUGAUCUGCGGUGCAAAUCUAAUUUCAUUGUAGUUUUUAAAAAUUUGCUAGACAAACAUAACAAUAAUCCCAGCUCAAGACUCACUGGGAGCUCCUGUUCUGUGUGUGU